This 866-nucleotide long non-coding RNA is filed under the name Gossypium barbadense (sea-island cotton). RNAcentral's name for it is "long non-coding RNA (GBAR_LNC020556)". Lineage: Eukaryota; Viridiplantae; Streptophyta; Magnoliopsida; Malvales; Malvaceae. The record is from RNAcentral.
AUCGAUAUGUGAUAACAUGUAAGAUCAUGUCUGGGACAUUGGCAUUGUACUGUGAUUACGUAUAAGACCUUAUCUGGGACAGUGGCAUCGAUAUGUGAUAACAUGUAAGACCAUGUUUGGGACAUUGGCAUUGUACUGUGAUUACGUAUAAGACCAUGUUUGGGACAUUGACAUCGUUAUAUGAUUUUGUAUAAGACCCUGUCUGGGACAGUGGCAUCGAUAUGUAAUAACAUGUAAGAACAUAUUUGGGAUAUGACAUUAUACAAGCUAUUAUGAUUUCUGAGUAUCCUUAACGAUUCCGAAUGAUUCAACGGGCAAAGUCAAGAUGAGAAUGAAAGUACAAUUGAAUUAAGUGAUACAGAUACGUAUAGAACCUAAGUGAGAAUCAUAUGAAGGUAAUUUGGUAAUUUCUUAGUGUAUCAUGCAUAUGAAAUGAGAAAGAUUAUGUAUAAAUAUGAUUCAUGCCAAAAAUGUGUUUAUUUGACUAUAAUGAGGUAUGAAUUAAAUGAUAUGUGAGAUAUGAGUUAUAGUUGUGUUAACUAAAUAUACAUAUGGCACAUGGUGUGCGAAAUAUUGUUAUUUGAUGAUAAUUUACUUGGCUAAAGAAAAGGUGAUGAUAUUGAAUAAUAAAGUAUAUUUAUAUAAUUAUUUACGCAUAUGAAAAUGUGAAUGAAAUGAUAAGAAGUAUUCAAACUAUACGUGUUUUGAAUGAAUAAACUCAUGAAAAUUUGGAUUAAUUAUGUGCAUGAAUUUGAAAUAGAAUGGUGCAAUCAUAUGUAUUAUAUCAUAUUUUGAAUAAUUCUUUUAAAUACGGUUAGUUAAUAACAUGAGUUUAUUUCUAUACGAGCUUACUAAGUCUUAGAGCU